UGAGAGCGGCGUACGGGUGCGGAACACGUGUGCAACCUACCUUUAUCAGGGGGAUAGCCUUUCGAAAGGAAGAUUAAUACCCCAUAAUAUAUUUGAUGGCAUCAUUAGAUAUUGAAAACUCCGGUGGAUAGAGAUGGGCACGCGCAAGAUUAGAUAGUUGGUAGGGUAACGGCCUACCAAGUCAGUGAUCUUUAGGGGGCCUGAGAGGGUGAUCCCCCACACUGGUACUGAGACACGGACCAGACUCCUACGGGAGGCAGCAGUGAGGAAUAUUGGACAAUGGGUGAGAGCCUGAUCCAGCCAUCCCGCGUGAAGGACGACGGUUCUAUGGAUUGUAAACUUCUUUUAUACUGGGAUAAACCUACUUACGUGUAAGUAGCUGAAGGUACAGUAUGAAUAAGCACCGGCUAACUCCGUGCCAGCAGCCGCGGUAAUACGGAGGGUGCAAGCGUUAUCCGGAUUUAUUGGGUUUAAAGGGUCCGUAGGCGGAUCUGUAAGUCAGUGGUGAAAUCUCACAGCUUAACUGUGAAACUGCCAUUGAUACUGCAGGUCUUGAGUAAAGUAGAAGUGGCUGGAAUAAGUAGUGUAGCGGUGAAAUGCAUAGAUAUUACUUAGAACACCAAUUGCGAAGGCAGGUCACUAUGUUUUAACUGACGCUGAUGGACGAAAGCGUGGGGAGCGAACAGGAUUAGAUACCCUGGUAGUCCUCGCCGUAAACGAUGCUAACUCGUUUUUGGGCUUUAGGGUUCAGAGACUAAGCGAAAGUGAUAAGUUAGCCACCUGGGGAGUACGUUCGCAAGAAUGAAACUCAAAGGAAUUGACGGGGGCCCGCACAAGCGGUGGAUUAUGUGGUUUAAUUCGAUGAUACGCGAGGAACCUUACCAAGGCUUAAAUGGGAAUUGACAGGUUUAGAAAUAGACUUUUCUUCGGGCAAUUUUCAAGGUGCCGCAUGGUUGUCGUCAGCUCGUGCCGUGAGGUGUUAGGUUAAGUCCUGCAACGAGCGCAACCCCUGUCACUAGUUGCCAUCAUUCAGUUGGGGACUCUAGUGAGACUGCCUACGCAAGUAGAGAGGAAGGUGGGGAUGACGUCAAAUCAUCACGGCCCUUACGCCUUGGGCCACACACGUAAUACAAUGGCCGGUACAGAGGGCAGCUACUUAGCGAUAAGAUGCGAAUCUCGAAAGCCGGUCUCAGUUCGGAUUGGAGUCUGCAACUCGACUCUAUGAAGCUGGAAUCGCUAGUAAUCGCGCAUCAGCC
Molecule: ribosomal RNA, 1256 nt
Filed under: uncultured bacterium
Lineage: Bacteria
Description: bacterial SSU rRNA
Rfam family: Bacterial small subunit ribosomal RNA
Source: RNAcentral